UACGUAGGGACCAAGCGUUGUUCGGAUUUAUUGGGCGUAAAGCGCGCGCAGGCGGUCUUUUAAGUCUGAUGUGAAAGCCCACGGCUCAACCGUGGAGGGUCAUUGGAAGCUGGGAGACUUGAGUGCAGAAGAGGAGAGUGGAAUUCCGCGUGUAGCGGUGAAAUGCGUAGAUAUGUGGAGGAACACCAGUGGCGAAGGCGACUCUCUGGUCUGUAACUGACGCUGAGGCGCGAAAGCGUGGGGAGCAAACAGG
Molecule: unclassified non-coding RNA, 253 nt
Filed under: uncultured Bacillaceae bacterium
Lineage: Bacteria; Bacillati; Bacillota; Bacilli; Caryophanales; Bacillaceae
Description: contains 16S-23S intergenic spacer region
Rfam family: Bacterial small subunit ribosomal RNA
Source: RNAcentral